Molecule: ribosomal RNA, 713 nt
Filed under: uncultured bacterium
Lineage: Bacteria
Description: bacterial SSU rRNA
Rfam family: Bacterial small subunit ribosomal RNA
Source: RNAcentral
AGUGGCGGACGGGUGAGUAACGCGUAGGAAUCUACCUGAUAGUGGGGGAUAGCCCGAAGAAAUUCGGAUUAAUACCGCAUAAUCUAUUCGUAGUAAAGUGGGGGACUUUCGAGCCUCACGCUAUCAGAUGAGCCUGCGUAAGAUUAGCUAGUUGGUAGGGUAAAAGCCUACCAAGGCGACGAUCUUUAGCUGGUCUGAGAGGAUGAUCAGCCACAUCGGGACUGAGACACGGCCCGAACUCCUACGGGAGGCAGCAGUGGGGAAUAUUGGACAAUGGGGGCAACCCUGAUCCAGCAAUACCGCGUGUGUGAAGAAGGCCUGAGGGUUGUAAAGCACUUUCAAUUGUGAAGAAAAGCUAGUGGUUAAUAGCCAUUAGCCUUGACGUUAACUUUAGAAGAAGCACCGGCUAACUCCGUGCCAGCAGCCGCGGUAAUACGGAGGGUGCAAGCGUUAAUCGGAAUUACUGGGCGUAAAGCGUGCGUAGGCGGUUUAUUAAGUCAGAUGUGAAAGCCCCGGGCUUAACCUGGGAACUGCAUUUGAAACUGGUCAACUAGAGUAUGGUAGAGGAAAGUGGAAUUUCUGGUGUAGCGGUGAAAUGCGUAGAUAUCAGAAGGAACAUCAAUGGCGAAGGCAACUUUCUGGACCAAUACUGACGCUGAGGUACGAAAGCGUGGGUAGCAAACAGGAUUAGAUACCCUGGUAGUCCACGCCGA